GGGUAUAGCUCAGUGGUAGAGCACAUGCUUAGUACGCAUGAGGUCCUGGGUUCAAUCCUCAGUACCUCCA
RNAcentral lists this transfer RNA (70 nucleotides) under Camelus bactrianus (Bactrian camel). It matches the Rfam family "tRNA". From Rfam's summary of the family: Transfer RNA (tRNA) molecules are approximately 80 nucleotides in length. Their secondary structure includes four short double-helical elements and three loops (D, anti-codon, and T loops). Further hydrogen bonds mediate the characteristic L-shaped molecular structure. tRNAs have two regions of fundamental functional importance: the anti-codon, which is responsible for specific mRNA codon recognition, and the 3' end, to which the tRNAs corresponding amino acid is attached (by aminoacyl-tRNA synthetases). tRNAs cope with the degeneracy of the genetic code in two manners: having more than one tRNA (with a specific anti-codon) for a particular amino acid; and 'wobble' base-pairing, i.e. permitting non-standard base-pairing at the 3rd anti-codon position. RNAcentral also lists the same sequence under 2 other names. Lineage: Eukaryota; Metazoa; Chordata; Mammalia; Artiodactyla; Camelidae. The record is from Rfam by way of RNAcentral.